RNAcentral lists this ribosomal RNA (492 nucleotides) under uncultured bacterium. RNAcentral's name for it is "partial 16S ribosomal RNA". It matches the Rfam family "Bacterial small subunit ribosomal RNA", at positions 29 to 507 of the family's 1533-position model. The record is from RNAcentral.
AGUGAACGCUGGCGGUAGGCCUAACACAUGCAAGUCGAACGGCAGCACAGUAAGAGCUUGCUCUUACGGGUGGCGAGUGGCGGACGGGUGAGGAAUACAUCGGAAUCUACUUUUUCGUGGGGGAUAACGUAGGGAAACUUACGCUAAUACCGCAUACGACCUACGGGUGAAAGCAGGGGAUCUUCUGACCUUGCGCGAUUGAAUGAGCCGAUGUCGGAUUAGCUAGUUGGCGGGGUAAAGGCCCACCAAGGCGACGAUCCGUAGCUGGUCUGAGAGGAUGAUAAGCAACACUGGAACUGAGACACGGUCCAGACUCCUACGGGAGGCAGCAGUGGGGAAUAUUGGACAAUGGGCGCAAGCCUGAUCCAGCCAUACCGCGUGGGUGAAGAAGGCCUUCGGGUUGUAAAGCCCUUUUGUUGGGAAAGAAAAGCAGCAGGUUAAUACCCCGCUGUUCUGACGGUACCCAAAGAAUAAGCACCGGCUAACUUCGUG